This 21-nucleotide microRNA is filed under the name Panagrellus redivivus. RNAcentral describes it as "prd-miR-242-3p". Its record names the gene prd-miR-242-3p. Lineage: Eukaryota; Metazoa; Nematoda; Chromadorea; Rhabditida; Panagrolaimidae. The record is from miRBase by way of RNAcentral.
GAUGCAAAGAGCUAUGCAACC